Molecule: ribosomal RNA, 776 nt
Filed under: Gammarus salemaai
Lineage: Eukaryota; Metazoa; Arthropoda; Malacostraca; Amphipoda; Gammaridae
Description: eukaryotic LSU rRNA
Rfam family: Eukaryotic large subunit ribosomal RNA
Source: RNAcentral
UAAGUCAGCCACGAAUAGGCUAUCCCAACUAACGGCGGGAAAGACUCCACGGAGGGUGUAAGACCCGUGUGGGCGCGUGUUAAAGCUGUGUGGGCUCGGCCUCCAUUCCCUGAGAGUCGCGUUGCUUGAGCAUGCAGCGCUAAGCAGGUCGUAAACUCGAUCUAAGGCUAAAUAUUUCCACAGAACCGAUAGCGAACAAGUACCGUGAGGGAAAGUUGAAAAGCACUCUGGAGAGAGAGUCAAAAGACCGUGAAACCGCUCAGAGUAUAAGCCCAUGGCAGCUUGGAAGGCAUAUCGCUAGCGGGGCAUCGGUCUCCCUUCGCGGGGAGCUGGUGUUACCUUGCUUCUGUUGUGGCUCGUCAUGGUAGGGGGGUCAGGUCCACAUCCCGCCGUCGUGUGGAGAGUUCUUGGGUGUGUUGUGGUUUCUCGGUUGGCUUCGGCUUUCCGGGGGGCUCUUCGUACUUGGUUCUCUUUUAGACACGGACGUUCAGACUCAGUUGCAAGACGCGAUAACCAGCCCACCACGGCACGUUGUGAGGUCACCCACAGGCUCGACUUUCGAUCGUGAGCCUUGACGCCGAGCAAGCACAAUGCGUGUCGCAGAGGUUCCUAACCAGGCAAUGCUGCCAGGAUCGUGGAACGACACGCGCUCAACAGUCAGGUUCGGGCGGAGACAGAGUUCUGGUAUGAUCCUCUUGCGACGAGCCGGCUUCUGGCCGACAUCCGAUGCUCAGGUCUCCCGCAUGUGCCGCGGGAGAUCGCUUUGACGGUCUGGA